GGCUGUGUACUUUCCCAUGGACACAGGGUUACUACAAAGUUAGGCCUCUAACCCUAAUUGCGAAACAUUGGUUAACCUGUAAUAUACUUGAUGCAUGCAUGCGUGUGCAUGUUCAGCUGCUCUGUCGUGUUGACUCUUUGCAACCCUGUGGAAGGUAGCCCUCCAGGAUCCUCUGUCCCUGGGAUUUUCUAAGCAAGAAUACUGAAGUGUGUUGGUGUUUCCUUCUCCAGGGAUCUUCCUGACCCAGGGAUCAAUCUCUUGCAUCCAUUCUUCCUCUUUGGCAGGCAAAUUCUUUACCACUGUGCCACCUGGGAAGCCCUGUAUACUUGAUGCUGAGCUCCUUGAGGUCAGGAACUAUUUCUUGUUCAUUUGCAUCUUGGACUUGGAGCAGCAAAGAGCUCCUCUGGAGUGAGUCUGUGGCUGCUGGCUCUCCAAGGCCAAAAAGAGUCAAGAGUGUGGAGGAUGGAGCUGAAGUCUGCACCAGAGAAUACCAAGAUCCAUCUGAGGAGGGUGACCGUUCCUUCUGAUUCGAAGUGGAGAAUUGUGUUUUCUUUUAGCUACAGACCCUGAACUUCCUGCUCCCGGGGGAUCUAUACCAGCCUGGAGUUUGUUUGUAUGUGGUUUCGUCAUAGACAUUUUGUUGUGGGCUGUCCAGUGAUGCCCAGGAACAAGGCUACGCAUGCAUUGAGUUCUGUUGGAGCAUGUUCCCAGUGAUGUUUGAAUUUUAAACAAGAAGCACUGUGAUAUAAUAGCUCAGUUGUUUUAAAUGGACUGUCCCGUCUCCUCUUGGGGAAAAUGAAAGUCACACCAGAAAAUCAUCUAGUAUGCUCCUCUUGUUUCCAACUGCAAUUUAUUGUGGAGGCAAGGAACAAAGAGAGUCCUGCUCUAGGAAAACAGACAUGACUGGGAGCUGGGACAGUGGAAGAUGCAGGCAAUCAUAUCCCCAGGCCUUUCUGCCGAGAGAGCAGGUCUUGCAGCCUAGGGAUCCAUCACCAUCAACAAAGCUCAGCGGAUCCAUCCUCUUCUCCUUCCCCUACAGAGGGCCUUGUGUCCUGUAGCUUGGCCCUUUCCCUGGCAGAGUGUGGGCUAAUGAAUGAGUGUGUUAAUGAGUGUGUUUGCCAGUGUGCAGGAGGAUGUUGGGUGGGGACAGGAGGAAGGGAGGAAUAAAGACCCGAGAUACUAAGCCAUGGAGGGAGAAAAACCGCCUUAAGUCUCUGGUCCCAUCACUUCAUGGCAAAUACAUGGGGAAAAAAUGGAAACUGACAGAUUUGACUUUCUUGGGCUCCAAAAUCCCUGCAGAUGGUGACUGCAGCCAUGAAAUUAAAGAUGAUUUCUC
Molecule: long non-coding RNA, 1336 nt
Organism: Bubalus bubalis (water buffalo)
Lineage: Eukaryota; Metazoa; Chordata; Mammalia; Artiodactyla; Bovidae
Exons: 6
Source: RefSeq, a predicted model, not a curated record